This 74-nucleotide transfer RNA is filed under the name Dipodomys ordii (Ord's kangaroo rat). It matches the Rfam family "tRNA". From Rfam's summary of the family: Transfer RNA (tRNA) molecules are approximately 80 nucleotides in length. Their secondary structure includes four short double-helical elements and three loops (D, anti-codon, and T loops). Lineage: Eukaryota; Metazoa; Chordata; Mammalia; Rodentia; Heteromyidae. The record is from Rfam by way of RNAcentral.
UGGGAUGUAGCUCAGUGGCAAAGCGCUUGCUUGCCUAGCAAGCGCAACGUCCUGGGUUCGAUCCCCAGUACCAA